UGGGGAAUAUUGCACAAUGGGCGAAAGCCUGAUGCAGCGACGCCGCGUGAGGGAUGACGGCCUUCGGGUUGUAAACCUCUUUCAGCAGGGAAGAAGCGAAAGUGACGGUACCUGCAGAAGAAGCGCCGGCUAACUACGUGCCAGCAGCCGCGGUAAUACGUAGGGCGCAAGCGUUGUCCGGAAUUAUUGGGCGUAAAGAGCUCGUAGGCGGUUAGUCGCGUCUGCUGUGAAAACUCGAGGCUCAACCUCGGGCUUGCAGUGGGUACGGGCUGACUAGAGUGCAGUAGGGGUGACUGGAAUUCCUGGUGUAGCGGUGGAAUGCGCAGAUAUCAGGAGGAACACCGAUGGCGAAGGCAGGUCACUGGGCCGCAACUGACGCUGAGGAGCGAAAGCAUGGGGAGCGAAACAGGAUUAGAUACCCUGGUAGUCCAUGCCGUAAACGUUGGGCACUAGGUGUGGGGUCCAUUCCACGGAUUCCGUGCCGCAGCAAA
Molecule: ribosomal RNA, 491 nt
Filed under: uncultured bacterium
Lineage: Bacteria
Description: partial 16S ribosomal RNA
Rfam family: Bacterial small subunit ribosomal RNA
Source: RNAcentral